Molecule: transfer RNA, 84 nt
Filed under: Pseudomonadota bacterium
Lineage: Bacteria; Pseudomonadati; Pseudomonadota
Also listed under: 4 other names
Description: tRNA-Leu
Rfam family: tRNA
About the family: Transfer RNA (tRNA) molecules are approximately 80 nucleotides in length. Their secondary structure includes four short double-helical elements and three loops (D, anti-codon, and T loops).
Source: RNAcentral
GCAGCAGUGGUGGAACUGGCAGACACACUAGCUUGAGGGGCUAGCGGGUGCAAACCUGUGCGAGUUCAACUCUCGCCUGCUGCA